UACGGGGGGGGCAAGCGUUGUUCGGAAUUACUGGGCGUAAAGGGCUCGUAGGUGGCCAACUAAGUCAGACGUGAAAUCCCUCGGCUUAACCGGGGAACUGCAUCUGAUACUGGAUGGCUUGAGAUUGGGAGAGGGAUGCGGAAUUCCAGGUGUAGCGGUGAAAUGCGUAGAUAUCUGGAGGAACACCGGUGGCGAAGGCGGCAUCCUGGACCUACACUGACACUGAGGAGCGAAAGCCAGGGGAGCAAACGGG
Molecule: ribosomal RNA, 253 nt
Filed under: uncultured bacterium
Lineage: Bacteria
Description: partial 16S ribosomal RNA
Rfam family: Bacterial small subunit ribosomal RNA
Source: RNAcentral